Molecule: unclassified non-coding RNA, 245 nt
Filed under: Hevea brasiliensis (rubber tree)
Lineage: Eukaryota; Viridiplantae; Streptophyta; Magnoliopsida; Malpighiales; Euphorbiaceae
Source: RNAcentral
GCUCAAUCCUUUAAGUAGAUGGGGAAUGUAAAGAGGAUGUUAGUCAUAAGAUUAAAAUCGAAGGGUUAAAGUAGAGAAGUGCGACUGGAGUUUUAUGUGAUCGCAAGAUUUCCAAUAAGUUGAAAGGAAAUUUUUACCGUACAGUUAUACUACUGGCCAUAUUAUAUGGUAGUAAGUGUUAGGUAAUGAAGAAGCCGUAUGUGUUCAAGAUAAGAGUUGUGGAGAUGAGAAUGUUAAGGUGGAUA